Molecule: ribosomal RNA, 352 nt
Filed under: uncultured bacterium
Lineage: Bacteria
Description: bacterial SSU rRNA
Rfam family: Bacterial small subunit ribosomal RNA
Source: RNAcentral
GGAGGAUGCGAGCGUUAUCCGGAUUUAUUGGGUUUAAAGGGAGCGCAGACGGGAGAUUAAGUCAGUUGUGAAAGUUUGCGGCUCAACCGUAAAAUUGCAGUUGAUACUGGGUGUCUUGAGUGCAGUUGAGGCAGGCGGAAUUCGUGGUGUAGCGGUGAAAUGCUUAGAUAUCACGAAGAACCCCGAUUGCGAAGGCAGCUUGCUAAACUGUAACUGACGUUCAUGCUCGAAAGUGUGGGUAUUAAACAGGAUUAGAUACCCUGGUAGUCCACACGGUAAACGAUGGAUACUCGCUGUUGGCGAUAUACUGUUAGCGGCCAAGCGAAAGCAUUAAGCAUCCCACCUGGGGAGU